This 497-nucleotide ribosomal RNA is filed under the name uncultured bacterium. RNAcentral's name for it is "partial 16S ribosomal RNA". It matches the Rfam family "Bacterial small subunit ribosomal RNA", at positions 28 to 507 of the family's 1533-position model. The record is from RNAcentral.
GAUGAACGCUGGCGGCGUGCCUAAUACAUGCAAGUCGAGCGAACAGAUAAGGAGCUUGCUCCUCUGACGUUAGCGGCGGUCGGGUGAGUAACACGUGGAUAACCUACCUAUAAGACUGGGAUAACUUCGGGAAACCGGAGCUAAUACCGGAUAAUAUACUGAACCGCAUGGUUCAAUAGUGAAAGACGGUUUUGCUGUCACUUAUAGAUGGAUCCGCGCCGCAUUAGCUAGUUGGUAAGGUAACGGCUUACCAAGGCAACGAUGCGUAGCCGACCUGUGAGGGGGGUCGGCCACACUGGAACUGGGACGCGGUCCAGACUCCUACGGGAGGCAGCAGUAGGGAAUCUUCCGCAGUGGGCGAAAGCAUGACGGAGCGACGCCACGUGAGUGAUGAAGAUCUUCGGAUCGUAAAACUCUGUUAUUAGGGAAGAACAAAUGUGUAAGGAACUAUACACGUCUUGACGGUACCUAAUCAGAAAGCCACGGCUAACUACGUG